This 253-nucleotide ribosomal RNA is filed under the name uncultured bacterium. RNAcentral describes it as "partial 16S ribosomal RNA". It matches the Rfam family "Bacterial small subunit ribosomal RNA", at positions 524 to 776 of the family's 1533-position model. The record is from RNAcentral.
UACAGAGAGUGCAAGCGUUAAUCGGAAUUACUGGGCGUAAAGCGCGCGUAGGCGGAAAACUAAGUCGGGUGUGAAAGCCCCAAGCUUAACUUGGGAACUGCAUUCGAUACUGGUUAUCUUGAGUAUGGUAGAGGGAAGUGGAAUUUCCGGUGUAGCGGUGAAAUGCGUAGAUAUCGGAAGGAACAUCAGUGGCGAAGGCGACUUCCUGGACCAAUACUGACGCUGAGGUGCGAAAGCGUGGGGAGCAAACAGG